AUACGUAGGUGGCAAGCGUUGUCCGGCUUUACUGGGCGUAAAGGAUGCGUAGGCGGAUGUUUAAGCGAGAUGUGAAAUCCCUAAGCUUAACUUAGGUGCUGCAUUUCAAACUGGAUGUCUAGAGUGCAGGAGAGGAGAAUGGAAUUCCUAGUGUAGCGGUGAAAUGCGUAGAGAUUAGGAAGAACACCAGUGGCGAAGGCGAUUCUCUGGACUGUAACUGACGCUGAGGCAUGAAAGCGUGGGUAGCAAACAGGAUUAGAUACCCUGGUAGUCCACGCCGUAAACGAUGAGUACUAGGUGUAGGAGGGUCCAACCUUCUGUGCCGCAGUUAACACAAUAAGUACUCCGCCUGGGAAGUACGAUCGCAAGAUUAAA
This 375-nucleotide ribosomal RNA is filed under the name uncultured bacterium. Its description in RNAcentral is "bacterial SSU rRNA". It matches the Rfam family "Bacterial small subunit ribosomal RNA", at positions 523 to 898 of the family's 1533-position model. The record is from RNAcentral.